This 2043-nucleotide long non-coding RNA is filed under the name Pan troglodytes (chimpanzee). RNAcentral describes it as "lincRNA". Lineage: Eukaryota; Metazoa; Chordata; Mammalia; Primates; Hominidae. The record is from RNAcentral.
AAGUCCAGUGCUAACCUGUGGGUGAAUGAACAAUGACCGGGGAACAGGGCCCUAAGGUCCUGGCUAAUGCUGGGAAAACACCAAGCUGAAGAAGACAUGUUUCCUGCCCUCCAGCAAAGAGAUAGAGUCCAAGCAAAUAACUACAACAGAUGUGAACGCGGAAGCACAAAGGAAGGAGAAGCUAAUGCUUCCUGGGAGAGGUGACAUUUCUUCUGGGUUUCGAUACUUCUUCUAGUCCUCUCACAUCUUAAAUCUCCAUUCUCAGUAUUCUCAGUGGAGCAUUUUAUUCUGCUUCUAUGAUUUGGGGCAAAAAGAAGAGAAUCUUGAUGAAGUACUUCUAGAAAGACUGGCCGAAAAGACUCUGAAAGACUUUCUCAGGAGUAAGAAACAACACAACUUUCUUAAUAUUCCUGUGCUGUUUUCACAUGCAAAAAAUAUUUUCCCCCUCCUACCUCAUCGGUAGGGCAAUGGACAAAAUGGCUUUUCUUAUAGUAAAUAGCAUGUUCCAUGUAAAACGAGGCCAUGAUCUCCCUUUUUUGCACUUCAAAAUAUUUUAAAAUUGCUGGAUUAUUUUUUCCUCUCCAUUCUUCCUUCUGUGGCUUGACAAUUACUAAAGCUGGUAUGAUUGGUAACACGACUCAAGUUAGAGGAAGUCUUUUUUUUCUUGAGAUGGAGUCUGGCUCUGUCUCCCAGGUUGGAGUGCAGCAACUGCGAACUCGGCUCACUGCAAACUAGAGGAGGCCUUUUUUUUAAAAUCAAAGAGCCUCUUUUAAAAUUAUCACCCAUUGGGAAUAUGCUGUGGGGAGGUCUCUCACAGCAGUGUGAAAGAGCACAUUAUCUUUUUUUUUUUUUUUUUUUUUGAGACUGAGUUUCGCUCUGUCACCCAGGCUGGAGUGCAGUGACGUGAUCUCGGCUCACUGCAAGCUCUGCCUCCCGGGUUCACGCCAUUCUCCUGCCUCAGCCUCCCGAGUAGCUGGGACUACAGGCGCCCGCCACCACGCCAGGCUAAUUUUUUGUAUUUUUAGACGGGGUUUCACCGUGUUAGCCAGGAUGAUCUCGAUCUUCUGACCUCGUGAUCCGCCCGUCUCAGCCUCCCAAAGUGCUGGGAUUACAGGCGUGAGCCACCGCGCCCGGCAAGAGCACAUUAUCUUGUAUGUGCCUGUAGCCCAUCUGCAGACAUGAAACCCAAGUCCCUGUUCUCCCAGGUGCAAUGGAAACAUCUCCACUCCUGCGGAUGAACUGAAUAAGGGAUAGUGAAGCAUAUUUUUAAAUGUUUGCUAUUGCUCGUUAGCCACAGUAGGAAUUUCAAUACCAGUGGCAGUGGGAUCCCUCAUUUUAUUGUAGAUGCCUUUUUUCAUUUCAGCUUACAAAGCUUCCCUCCGUUGGAGGGUGGGGGCCAGAGAAAUAAAAUGGAAGGCAAAGGGGGGAUGCGCUGCGAUUUUUCUGCUCAUUGUCUCAUUUUGAAACUGCCCCAACUGUAUAGAACUUCUAGGAAGCCCGUACAUGUCGGCACAUUCCCGGGGAAGAAUGCUUCUCUUAGGAGCCAGUGCCUUAAGAAGUUUCUUCCAUGUUGCACUGGCGUGCAUGUCUGCUUAAAUCGCCACUCUCCUCAUGACAUUUGGCAGGACUAGGAAGUUCACGUGUCAGUCCCGAUAUUGGCCCACGUGACCCCAUCCCCAAAGACAGGCAAUGAACCCCUGUGUUUUUAUGCCAUAUGAACUGAGAAGUAGACGCAUUCUGUGUAAUGGAUACACACUGAGGCUGCAAUUUUUGAAAAGUCAUUGUUUUGACUUCCCUAUAUUCACAUCGAAUAACGCUUUUAGUCUUUGCCCUCAGUACUCUAGAAGGGGCUAUAUAGCCUGUUUUUGUAUUUGUGGGAAAAAGACUAGAAGCUGGGCAAAAUGCCACCAGGAAGACUAACAUGGCGACAUGAUCCCAAGGGAAACUGAGGUCUCACACUGUCCAGCAACAGAAGGAGGUUGAAUUCUGGAGGAGGUUUAAUUUUUUAAAAACUCAAACUAAUAAAAGAUGUUCACAAAUAUU